This 432-nucleotide ribosomal RNA is filed under the name uncultured bacterium. Its description in RNAcentral is "partial 16S ribosomal RNA". It matches the Rfam family "Bacterial small subunit ribosomal RNA", at positions 29 to 526 of the family's 1533-position model. The record is from RNAcentral.
AACGAACGCUGCCCGCAUCCCUAACACAUGCAUGCCGCACGAGUGGCCCACGGGUGCGUAACGCGUGGGAAUCUGCCCUUAGGCUCGGAAUAACAGUUGGAUACCGCUGCUAAUACCGGAUGCCUGAGGAUGAGCCCGCGUGGUGUUAGGUUGUUGGUGGGGUAAAAGCCUCCCAAUCCGACGAUCCAUAGCUGGUCGGAGAGGAUGAUCAGCCACACUAGGACUGAGACACGGCCUAGACUCCUACGUGAGACAGCAGUGGAGAAUAUUGGACAGAAGGCGCAAGCCUGAGGAGGGCAUGCCGCGUGUAUGAAGGAGGCCGGCGGGUUGUAGAGUACGGUCAGCGAGGAGGUUGUAGUUAAUAACCGCAGGAGUUGAGGUUAGCCGCAGAGGAAGCACGGGGUAGCUCCGUGGCAGCAGCCGCGGUAAUAC